Molecule: ribosomal RNA, 482 nt
Filed under: uncultured bacterium
Lineage: Bacteria
Description: partial 16S ribosomal RNA
Rfam family: Bacterial small subunit ribosomal RNA
Source: RNAcentral
GACGAACGCUGGCGGCGUGCUUAACACAUGCAAGUCGAACGAUGAAACCUAGCUUGCUAGGUCGAUUAGUGGCGAACGGGUGAGCAACACGUGACUAACCUGCCCCUUUCUCUGGGAUAACGCUCCGAAAGGAGUGCUAAUACCGGAUACUCACACCGAGGCACAUGCCUUGGUGUGGAAAGUUUUUCGGAAAGGGAUGGAGUCGCGGCCUAUCAGCUUGUUGGUGAGGUAACGGCUCACCAAGGCGACGACGGGUAGCCGGCCUGGGAGGGGGACGGGCCACACUGGGACUGAGACACGGCCCAGACUCCUACGGGAGGCAGCAGUGGGGAAUAUUGCACAAUGGGCGCAAGCCUGAUGCAGCGACGCCGCGUGAGGAAUGAAGGUCUUCGGAUUGUAAACCUCUUUCAGUAGGGACGAAGCGAAAGUGACGGUACCUAAAGAAGAAGCACCGGCUAACUACGUGCCAGCAGCCGCCGUAA